AGUGAACGCUGGCGGUAGGCCUAACACAUGCAAGUCGAACGGCAGCACAGUAAGAGCUUGCUCUUACGGGUGGCGAGUGGCGGACGGGUGAGGAAUACAUCGGAAUCUACUUUUUCGUGGGGGAUAACGUAGGGAAACCUACGCUAAUACCGCAUACGACCUACGGGUGAAAGCAGGGGAUCUUCGGACCUUGCGCGAUUGAAUGAGCCGAUGUCGGAUUAGCUAGUUGGCGGGGUAAAGGCCCACCAAGGCGACGAUCCGUAGCUGGUCUGAGAGGAUGAUCAGCCACACUGGAACUGAGACACGGUCCAGACUCCUACGGGAGGCAGCAGUGGGGAAUAUUGGACAAUGGGCGCAAGCCUGAUCCAGCCAUACCGCGUGGGUGAAGAAGGCCUUCGGGUUGUAAAGCCCUUUUGUUGGGAAAGAAAAGCAGCAGGUUAAUACCCCGCUGUUCUUACGGUACCCAAAGAAUAAGCACCGGCUAACUUCGUG
RNAcentral lists this ribosomal RNA (492 nucleotides) under uncultured bacterium. Its description in RNAcentral is "partial 16S ribosomal RNA". It matches the Rfam family "Bacterial small subunit ribosomal RNA", at positions 29 to 507 of the family's 1533-position model. The record is from RNAcentral.